Molecule: ribosomal RNA, 1642 nt
Filed under: Ruminococcus flavefaciens
Lineage: Bacteria; Bacillati; Bacillota; Clostridia; Eubacteriales; Oscillospiraceae
Description: bacterial LSU rRNA
Rfam family: Bacterial large subunit ribosomal RNA
Source: RNAcentral
AAAGCUAAAAAGAGCGCAGGGCGAAUGCCUUGGCAUUGGGAGCCGAUGAAGGACGUGAUUAACUGCGAUAAGCUGCGGGGAGUGGUAAGUACACUUUGAUCCGCAGAUUUCCGAAUGGAGCAAUCCGGCUGAGUAAACCUCAGUCAUCAUAUACUGAAUAAAAUAGGUAUAUGAGGGAAACCGCCUGAACUGAAACAUCUAAGUAGGGCGAGGAAGAGAAAUCAACCGAGAUUUCCUAAGUAGUGGCGAGCGAACGGGAAAGAGGCCAAACCGAGAGAAGCAAUUCUUUCGGGGUUACGGACUGCAUUUAGCAUUGACCGAACUUAACUGAACUGUAUGGGAAGGCAGACCGAAGAGCGUGAGAGUCGCGUAAGUGAAAAGAGAAGUCAGCGAGCAGGAUCCAGAGUACCGCCGGACACGUGAAACCCGGUGGGAAGUCGGGGGGACCACCCUCCAAGCCUAAAUACUACCCAAUGACCGAUAGUGAAUAAGUACUGUGAAGGAAAGGUGAAAAGAACCCCGGGAGGGGAGUGAAAGAGAACCUGAAACCCUGUGCUUACAAGCACCUAGAGCACAUCAACGUGUGAUAGGGUACCUUUUGUAGAAUGGUCCGGCGAGUUAUGAUAUGCAGCAAGGUUAAGGUCUUAAGGACCGGAGCCGAAGCGAGAGCAAGUCUUAAUAGGGCGAAAAGUUGUAUGUCAUAGACCCGAAACCGGGUGACCUAGCCAUGUCCAGGCUGAAGUGGAGGUAAAGCUCCAUGGAGGGCCGAACCGACCCCCGUUGAAAAGGUGGCGGAUGAGGUGUGGCUAGCGGAGAAAUUCCAAUCGAACCCGGAUAUAGCUGGUUCUCCCCGAAAUAGCUUUAGGGCUAGCGUUGUAUUAGAUUACCGGAGGUAAAGCACUGAAUUGGCUAGGGGCCGAGAGGUUACUGAACCAUAUCAAACUAAGAAUGCCGGAUAAUUGAUGUACAGCAGUCAGACUACGUGAGAUAAGUCUCGUGGUCGAAAGGGAAACAGCCCAGACCCACAGCUAAGGUCCCGAAAUAGAUUUAAGUGGAGAAGGAUGUGGAGUUGCAUAGACAACCAGGAUGUUGGCUUAGAAGCAGCCACUCAUUAAAAGAGUGCGUAAUAGCUCACUGGUCGAGUGACUCUGCGCCGAAAAUUCAACGGGGCUAAAAUCUAUACCGAAGCUUGGGCUUGUAUCUGCUGAACAAAGUUAACUUAGAGGUUCAAAUUCUCGCGAAGCGAGUAAAUUCGCUUGUAAAGGAUAGAACCGAAAGCGAAGCUGACUUUGUUCAGUAGAUACAGGGGUAGGGGAGCGUUGUGUAAGAGGAGAAGUCGUAGCGAAAGCGGCGGUGGAUUUUACACAAGUGAGAAUGCCGGAAUGAGUAGCGAGAAUUAUGUGAGAAUCAUAAUGGCCGAAAGUCUAAGGUUUUAGAAGGAAGGUUCGUCCGCUUCUAGUAAGCCGGGAGCUAAGGUAAGGCCGAAAGGCGUAGCCGAUGCACAUACGGUAGAAAUUCCGUAGCCUCCAUCCAUUUAAGCACAGGGACACUUUUGAAGGGUUUAGCCGAGCGUUGGUUGCCUCGGUCGUAAGGGACUGCGAAUGAGCGGGAAGUAAACUUGGAAGAAGGCGAGAAAAGCUGU